GGGGAGGUAGCUCAGUUGGGAGAGCGUCGCGUUCUGCAAUGCGAAGGUCGGGAGUUCGAUCCUCCUCCUCUCCACCA
This 77-nucleotide transfer RNA is filed under the name Polaromonas sp. P2-4. Its description in RNAcentral is "tRNA-Gln". It matches the Rfam family "tRNA". Rfam says of the family: Transfer RNA (tRNA) molecules are approximately 80 nucleotides in length. Their secondary structure includes four short double-helical elements and three loops (D, anti-codon, and T loops). RNAcentral also lists the same sequence under 1 other name. Lineage: Bacteria; Pseudomonadati; Pseudomonadota; Betaproteobacteria; Burkholderiales; Comamonadaceae. The record is from RNAcentral.